Molecule: long non-coding RNA, 458 nt
Organism: Cebus imitator (Panamanian white-faced capuchin)
Lineage: Eukaryota; Metazoa; Chordata; Mammalia; Primates; Cebidae
Exons: 5
Source: RefSeq, a predicted model, not a curated record
CAGAAUUGUCUUUUGUCCUGAGUCACUCACUUUGCCAGAACCCAGGAAAUGGGCAUGGGAAUAGAAAGGUUUCCAAUCUUUGCCCUUUAACUGAAGGUUGUUUUGCUAUCCAUUCACCUUACACCGAGGCUGCAGUUGCUUAGAAAUGCAGACUGAAUGCAGUCUUUACUGUUAGACUCUCUGCUUAGGGUGGACUUCCUGAGCCUUGAGAAGCCAUCUGAAUGAGAAUAAAGGUAUAAACUAUUCACGUAUGAAGAACCUACUAUGCAGACUUUUCAGUGGAAACCUCAUAGCCCAGGAAAUGGUGGCAUGACACACUUAAUGUGCCAGCCUAGGACAUCAAGAGGCAAGGGGCAGCUUUGAGUUCAUGAGGACCAACUCGACUUUGUCUCCAGAGAGCAAACCAUUGAUGGAUGACACACCAAGAGGGUCCUCACAAAAUGCCAGCCCAUUGAUCU